This 1004-nucleotide long non-coding RNA is filed under the name Apteryx rowi (Okarito brown kiwi). RNAcentral describes it as "lncRNA (ENSARWG00000012442.1)". The record is from RNAcentral. Lineage: Eukaryota; Metazoa; Chordata; Aves; Apterygiformes; Apterygidae.
AUGAGGUUUUGUCUCCUUUGCAGACUCUUUGGGCCCUCGAUUAUCCCGUAUGAUGUGGCUGCCAACAGGACCAUCGCCUCUUUCUUAGGUGCCCCUGAAUGCAGGGCAAAAAUGCCAGCGGUGGAAAGGGAAUUUCUGCAAGAAGCCCAUACGAGCUUCCUCCUCUGCUCUGGUGGGUAUCAGYGCUUUACGGGAAGGGACAACAUCCAGUUCCAGAGCCAUUGUAUUAAAUGUAAAUGGAGAGGGAAAUUAUAUUCCAUAUACUCUAUACUGUAUUGUAGUCGCGCAGACAGCUGGUUGCAGCACACACAGCCUGAACCACCUCUCCGGCGGUACAUGCCGUCCUCACUGAGGAGCUGUAGGGAUGCUGUGCUCCCAGGAUCCUGCUUGCUGGUAAAAUCCAGAUUUUGGCCUCCAAGAGAAGAAGCAUCCAUAUGUGGCAUUAUGGUUGAAGCCUCUGUUCCUACUGGACCAAGCCAGGAAGGGCAAAAGGACAUUUUUGAUCAAAGCCUCUUCCCCUGAUUUCUAAGUCCAGAUAAAUUCAAACAUUCUUAUCUUUGGGGGGAACUUACCCUUCCUGUCCUGUACCUCCCUGGGAGAGAGUCCUUCAUCAAGGAGGGCUGGUGCCCUAAGGUACAUGUAGCACUAUCCUUAGCUAGUAGGGAAAAAUCUGACCCCUCCUGGUUGUUCCUAAGGGUCAGCAAAGUUCCUUGUUAGUGAAAUGCUCCUUUUUUUUUCUUCUCCUCUUCGUGGAACUUACAAUCUGAGAGCACAUUUCACCUGUGGGUGAAGGAGCACAAGUCAAAACCCACCAGCCCUGCAGAACAAGGCCAUGGCCAUAUAUUCAGAAACUUGUGCAUAGCUGGAAGUGAAAGAGGAUGAAGAGGUUGUUUGAGAUACAAGUGGGAACUGAAGAAGAAAAUAUUCAUUCCUCCUGCUUAAACUUGAGCUGGAUCCACAUUUUGGAUUGCCAUGUUUGUAAAUAAAGUGGCUGUAGUAAUGCA